GACGAACGCUGGCGGCGUGCUUAACACAUGCAAGUCGAACGGAAAGGCCCUGCUUUUGUGGGGUGCUCGAGUGGCGAACGGGUGAGUAACACGUGAGUAACCUGCCCUUGACUUUGGGAUAACUUCAGGAAACUGGGGCUAAUACCGGAUAGGAGCUCCUGCUGCAUGGUGGGGGUUGGAAAGUUUCGGCGGUUGGGGAUGGACUCGCGGCUUAUCAGCUUGUUGGUGGGGUAGUGGCUUACCAAGGCUUUGACGGGUAGCCGGCCUGAGAGGGUGACCGGCCACAUUGGGACUGAGAUACGGCCCAGACUCCUACGGGAGGCAGCAGUGGGGAGUAUUGCACAAUGGGCGGAAGCCUGAUGCAGCGACGCCGCGUGCGGGAUGACGGCCUUCGGGUUGUAAACCGCUUUCGCCUGUGACGAAGCGUGAGUGACGGUAAUGGGUAAAGAAGCACCGGCUAACUACGUG
This 468-nucleotide ribosomal RNA is filed under the name uncultured bacterium. RNAcentral describes it as "partial 16S ribosomal RNA". It matches the Rfam family "Bacterial small subunit ribosomal RNA", at positions 28 to 507 of the family's 1533-position model. The record is from RNAcentral.